RNAcentral lists this ribosomal RNA (392 nucleotides) under uncultured bacterium. RNAcentral describes it as "bacterial SSU rRNA". It matches the Rfam family "Bacterial small subunit ribosomal RNA", at positions 30 to 422 of the family's 1533-position model. The record is from RNAcentral.
AUUGAACGCUGGCGGCAGGCCUAACACAUGCAAGUCGAGCGGUAGAGAGGUGCUUGCAUCUCUUGAGAGCGGCGGACGGGUGAGUAAUGCCUAGGAAUCUGCCUAGUGGUGGGGGAUAACGUUCGGAAACGGACGCUAAUACCGCAUACGUCCUACGGGAGAAAGCGGGGGAUCUUCGGACCUCGCGCCAUUAGAUGAGCCUAGGUCGGAUUAGCUAGUUGGUGAGGUAAUGGCUCACCAAGGCGACGAUCCGUAACUGGUCUGAGAGGAUGAUCAGUCACACUGGAACUGAGACACGGUCCAGACUCCUACGGGAGGCAGCAGUGGGGAAUAUUGGACAAUGGNGAAAGCCUGAUCCAGCCAUGCCGCGUGUGUGAAGAAGGUACUUCGGA